Molecule: unclassified non-coding RNA, 400 nt
Filed under: soil metagenome
Description: partial contains 5.8S ribosomal RNA, internal transcribed spacer 2, and large subunit ribosomal RNA
Rfam family: 5.8S ribosomal RNA (bases 1-122)
Source: RNAcentral
GAUGAAGAACGUAUCGAAAUGCGAUACUUGGUGUGAAUUGCAGAAUCCCGUGAACCAUCGAGUCUUUGAACGCAAGUUGCGCCUCAAGCCAUUAGGUUGAGGGCACGUCUGCCUGGGCGUCACAUAUCGUUGCCUGAUGCCAGUUUCCUCGUGAUGGGUGACUGUGCAGGGCGAAUGAUGGCUUCCCGUGAGCAUUGUUGCCUCAUGGUUGGUUGAAAAUUGAGUCCUUGGUAGGGAGCGCCGUGAUAGAUGGUGGUUGAGUGACGAACGAGACCCAAUCAUGUGAGACCCCUACCGAAUUUGGCCUUCAUGACCCACAUGCGUCUUUGGAACGCUCAUGACGAGACCUCAGGUCAGGCGGGGCUACCCGCUGAGUUUAAGCAUAUCAAUAAGCGGAGGA